This 301-nucleotide ribosomal RNA is filed under the name uncultured bacterium. RNAcentral's name for it is "partial 16S ribosomal RNA". It matches the Rfam family "Bacterial small subunit ribosomal RNA", at positions 509 to 809 of the family's 1533-position model. The record is from RNAcentral.
CAGUAGCCACGGUAACACGAAGGGGGCUAGCGUUGUUCGGAUUUACUGGGCGUAAAGCGCACGUAGGCGGACAUUUAAGUCAGGGGUGAAAUCCCAGAGCUCAACUCUGGAACUGCCUUUGAUACUGGGUGUCUGGAGUAUGGAAGAGGUAAGUGGAAUUCCGAGUGUAGAGGUGAAAUUCGUAGAUAUUCGGAGGAACACCAGUGGCGAAGGCGGCUUACUGGUCCAUUACUGACGCUGAGGUGCGAAAGCGUGGGGAGCAAACAGGAUUAGAUACCCGUGUAGUCCCUGUCUCUUAUAU